Long non-coding RNA from Cyprinus carpio carpio, 596 nucleotides. The record is from Ensembl. Lineage: Eukaryota; Metazoa; Chordata; Actinopteri; Cypriniformes; Cyprinidae.
ACUGUUUUUUGGGAGCUGGUCUGGCCAGGCAGAUUUGACUGGAGCCAGAGUGUAGAUACAAGGCUGAGCUCAGAUAAACAGCUUCUUGUUUGAGCUGCCGCUGCACUGAGCUGCUCUGUGCUGAGCUGAGCAGGCUGAUAAGAAAGGCAGUGGCGGCGUCGGGGCCGUGGCAGCCAAGAGAAUGGACCAGGGCCUGGGGAAGUAGACACUCUGACUGCACCCUGCCCUCCCCUGACCGCUUCUCCUCCCAGCCCUAAUCUCUCUUCUUUUCUUCUCUCCCUCGCUCUUUUCACAGCAAAGGGCAGAGCUGCCUAAUUGCCUGGUGAGAGUGAAAUGUAUCAGUGGACCGCAUCAGCAUGGGGAGCAGGAGAAGAGAUGCAGACACGGCCGGCGGGUCAGACCCAGGAAGAGACGUGACCUCGAUGACUAUCCAUAUUUAAAGCCCUAGAUACCUCCUACUAUCACAAUUGAUCAUCAUGCCUGCAGAGAGCUGCUGAUACGCCAAACAUGCCAGAAGAUUGGCAAUCAAUAACACAGCAAGAACGCUUUAGCUCAGCACUGGACUAAACCCACAUCUGCUUCCAAUAUCCCUGUCU